GGUACCUUUGGGGUAAUAAAUUCUUUGGGGUAAUUGAAAAAAAUUCGCCCAAAGGUUUGUACUAAUUUCAACCUGUUAUGUUAAUGUUAUCAUUUUGUGGUUUUAAUAUGAUAUACAGCUAGAUAAUAUCUCCCCAAAACGCUUCCAAACAUUUAAAUCGGACAACUAUUUGAACAAUUAUCGGUUUAUGAAAUAUGACCGUCUGUAAAGUGCAUAUCUAGCUGGAGUUAUAAACGGGCGUUUGGGCUAAUUCGCCUUUUUUGGUUUUCCACCAAAAAAACUGAUAUAUAUCACUUAUAUUAUUAUUUGAGUAAAGUGGUGGGAACUUUCUGCAGUUUUCGAUUAAUUUUCUCCAAGAAAUUGUAAGAAAUAGAAAAAAUAUUCGACAUAUAUAUGAGUAGCACGUCUGAAAUUUCACAUAUAUUCUUUCGAAGAUCUUAUUCGGAACACCUUUGGAUUCAUUCGCUUCGAUUAAAUAGGACAAAAUGGCAGCUUGCAGGGGCCAGCUGAAGGACACCUCUGGGUGCGGGAAUUUUUCGAUACAGUGAAGACCUGUUGGUGAGCUUCUGCUGUUGUUUUUAUCCAAGGGGUUUUUACUCAUCAGAUGCAUGAUUCAGAUCAAUACAGUGGUGUCUGCAUAAAAAAAGUUGAUGGGAGAAUGAUGUUUAUCAAAGGUUGAUGUAAACAAAGAAAAGAAAAUUCAACAGAUGAGGCUUUUUGACAAGAAGUGUUAUUUUGAAAUGAUUUUUAGCCAGCAAAUCAAGGUUAACAGCAUCUAGAGAAAUUUGCACAGCAACAUGGAGGAGAAAAACCAUCAAUCCUUGCAUAUCUUGCUGGACGGAAUUGAGAUUUUUUAGCACAAGCAACAAUUCAUGGAAAAAACUAUGAAAAAAGGCUCUAGGUGUAAUACCACCAUUGAUUUUCCCCUAUUAGUCUUUGUUAAAUUUGCACUUUUCAAAAAAUUGUGCAGAAUUUAUCUUUGUUUCAAAUAAAGAAAUACUUGGCAUGAGUAAAGUUUUAUCCUGUCCAGUUCUAUAGAAAAAG
Mytilus trossulus (common blue mussel) is the source of this 1044-nucleotide long non-coding RNA. RefSeq lists it as uncharacterized. The record is from RefSeq and is a predicted model, not a curated record. The transcript has 4 exons. Lineage: Eukaryota; Metazoa; Mollusca; Bivalvia; Mytilida; Mytilidae.